This 372-nucleotide ribosomal RNA is filed under the name uncultured bacterium. RNAcentral's name for it is "bacterial SSU rRNA". It matches the Rfam family "Bacterial small subunit ribosomal RNA", at positions 526 to 896 of the family's 1533-position model. The record is from RNAcentral.
AUUAGGGUGCGAGCGUUGUUCGGAAUUAUUGGGCGUAAAGGGAGUGUACGCGGUUUGUUAAGUCUUCUGUGAAAUCUACGGGCUUACCCUGUAACGUGCAGAGGAAACUGGCAGGCUUGAGUGUCGGAGAGGAUAGGGGAAUACCCAGUGUACAGGUGAAAUUCGUAGAGAUUGGGUGGAACACCAGUGGCGAAGGCGCCUAUCUGGCUGACAACUGACGCUGAGACUCGAAAGCAUGGGGAGCAAACUGGAUUAUAUACCCUGGUAGUCCAUGCCGUAAACGAUGAUAGCUAGAUGUGUGAGGUAUUGACCCCUUACGUGUCGAAGUCUACACGAUAAUCUAUCCGCCUGGGGAGUACGGUCGCAAGAUUA